RNAcentral lists this ribosomal RNA (451 nucleotides) under uncultured bacterium. RNAcentral describes it as "partial 16S ribosomal RNA". It matches the Rfam family "Bacterial small subunit ribosomal RNA", at positions 29 to 523 of the family's 1533-position model. The record is from RNAcentral.
AGCGAACGCUGGCGGCAGGCUUAACACAUGCAAGUCGAGCGGGCGUAGCAAUACGUCAGCGGCAGACGGGUGAGUAACGCGUGGGAACGUACCUUUUGGUUCGGAACAACACAGGGAAACUUGUGCUAAUACCGGAUAAGCCCUUACGGGGAAAGAUUUAUCGCCGAAAGAUCGGCCCGCGUCUGAUUAGCUAGUUGGUGAGGUAAUGGCUCACCAAGGCGACGAUCAGUAGCUGGUCUGAGAGGAUGAUCAGCCACAUUGGGACUGAGACACGGCCCAAACUCCUACGGGAGGCAGCAGUGGGGAAUAUUGGACAAUGGGCGCAGGCCUGAUCCAGCCAUGCCGCGUGAGUGAUGAAGGCCCUAGGGUUGUAAAGCUCUUUUGCGCGGGAAGAUAAUGACGGUACCGCAAGAAUAAGCCCCGGCUAACUUCGUGCCAGCCGCCGCCGUAA